AGUGAACGCUGGCGGUAGGCCUAACACAUGCAAGUCGAACGGCAGCACAGUAAGAGCUUGCUCUUACGGUUGGCGAGUGGCGGACGGGUGAGGAAUACAUCGGAAUCUACUUUUUCGUGGGUGAUAACGUAGGGAAACUUACGCUACUACCGCAUACGACCUACGGGUGAAUGCAGGGGAUCUUCGGACCUUUCCCGACUGAUUGAGCCGAUGUCGGAUUAGCUAGUUGGCAGGGUAAAGGCCCACCAAGGCGACGAUCCGUAGCCGGUCUGAGAGGAUGAUCGGCCACACUGGAACUGAGACACGGUCCAGACUCCUACGGGAGGCAGCAGUGGGGAAUAUUGGACAAUGGGCGAAAGCCUGAUCCAGCAAUACCGCGUGAGUGAAGAAGGCCUUCGGGUUGUAAAGCCCUUUUGUUGGGAAAGAAAAGCAGCAGGUUAAUACCCCGAUGUUCUGACGGUACCCAAAGAAUAAGCACCGGCUAACUUCGUG
This 492-nucleotide ribosomal RNA is filed under the name uncultured bacterium. RNAcentral's name for it is "partial 16S ribosomal RNA". It matches the Rfam family "Bacterial small subunit ribosomal RNA", at positions 29 to 507 of the family's 1533-position model. The record is from RNAcentral.